CUUGCUGGUGAGGUGGAAAAUCUUUCUCUGUUCCAAGCAGGGUGCACCUCCCCAUCUGCGUCAGAGACGGUAGGUGGUGCUGUGGUGUUAAAAGCUGAUUAAAGCAGGGGGUGAAAGUCCCACAGAGAAAAAAGUGACCCAAGUGCAGAGGGCUGGGGAGAGGAGUUUAAAGAAGGGCAGGAAUAUGCAUCCUCAUUCAGUGUCUUUCCAAUUCGGGUGCUACAGAGGAAAACCACAGCAUGGAAUGAGCGCAAAACUAAGUGAUCGUGCAUGA
RNAcentral lists this long non-coding RNA (274 nucleotides) under Felis catus (domestic cat). RNAcentral describes it as "lncRNA (ENSFCAG00000049164.1)". The record is from RNAcentral. Lineage: Eukaryota; Metazoa; Chordata; Mammalia; Carnivora; Felidae.